CCUACGGGUGGCAGCAGUGAGGAAUAUUGGUCAAUGGGCGCGAUCCUGAACCAGCCAAGCAGCGUGAAGGAAGACUGCCCUAUGGGUUGUAAACUUCUUUUAUCGGGGAAUAAAACGCGGUACGUAUCCCGCUCUGCAUGUAUCCUAUGAAAAAGCAUCGGCUAACUCCGUGCCAGCAGCCGCGGUAAUACGGAGGAUCCGAGCGUUAUCCGGAUUUAUUGGGUUUAAAGGGUGCGUAGGCGGUCCGUUAAGUCAGCGGUAAAAUUGCGGGGCUCAACCCCGUCGAGCCGUUGAAACUGGCAGCCUUGAGUAGGCGAGAAGUACGCGGAAUGCGCGGUGUAGCGGUGAAAUGCAUAGAUAUCGCGAAGAACUCCGAUUGCGAAGGCAGCGUACCGGCGCGAGACUGACGCUGAGGCACGAAAGUGUGGGGAUCGAACAGGAUUAGAUACCCUUGUAGUC
RNAcentral lists this ribosomal RNA (459 nucleotides) under uncultured bacterium. RNAcentral describes it as "partial 16S ribosomal RNA". It matches the Rfam family "Bacterial small subunit ribosomal RNA", at positions 338 to 795 of the family's 1533-position model. The record is from RNAcentral.